GAUGAAGAACGCAGCGAAAUGCGAUACGUAAUGUGAAUUGCAGAAUUCAGUGAAUCAUCGAGUCUUUGAACGCACAUUGCGCCCCCUGGUAUUCCGGGGGGCAUGCCUGUCCGAGCGUCAUUGCUGCCCUCAAGCACGGCUUGUGUGUUGGGCCUCCGUCCUCCUCCCGGGGGACGGGCCCGAUAGGCAGCGGCGGCACCGCGUCCGGUCCUCGAGCGUAUGGGGCUUCGUCACCCGCUCUUGUAGGCCCGGCCGGCGCUUGCCGACACAUCAAUCUUUUUUCCAGGUUGACCUCGGAUCAGGUAGGGAUACCCGCUGAACUUAAGCAUAUCAAUAAGCGGAGGA
This 345-nucleotide unclassified non-coding RNA is filed under the name soil metagenome. RNAcentral's name for it is "partial contains 5.8S ribosomal RNA, internal transcribed spacer 2, and large subunit ribosomal RNA". The stretch from base 1 to 120 matches the Rfam family "5.8S ribosomal RNA", at positions 35 to 154 of the family's 154-position model. The record is from RNAcentral.